This 497-nucleotide ribosomal RNA is filed under the name uncultured bacterium. Its description in RNAcentral is "partial 16S ribosomal RNA". It matches the Rfam family "Bacterial small subunit ribosomal RNA", at positions 28 to 507 of the family's 1533-position model. The record is from RNAcentral.
GAUGAACGCUGGCGGCGUGCCUAAUACAUGCAAGUCGAGCGGACAGACGAGGCGCUUGCUCCUCUGACGUUAGCGGCGGGCGGGUGAGUAACACGUGGCUAACCUCCCUAUAAGACUGGGAUAACUUCGGGAAACCGGAGCUCAUACCGGAUAAGAUAUUGCACCGCAUGGUUCAAUAGUAACAGCCGGUUUUGCUGUCACUUAUAGAUGGAUCCGCGCCGUCUUGGCUAGUCGGUAAGGUAACGGCUUACCAAGGCAACGAUGCGUAGCCGACCUGAGAGGGUCGUCGCACAAACUGGAACUGAGACACGGUCCAGAGCCCUACGGGAGGCAGCAGCAGGGAACGCUCCGCCAGGGGCGAAGGCCUGACGGAGCAACGCCGCGUCAGUGAUGAAGGUCUUGGGAUCGUAAAACACUGCUAUGAGUGAAGAACAAAUGCGUAAGGAACUAGGCGCGUCGUGACGGUACCUAAUCAGAAAGCCCCGGCUAUCCACGUG